Molecule: Y RNA, 94 nt
Filed under: Carlito syrichta (Philippine tarsier)
Lineage: Eukaryota; Metazoa; Chordata; Mammalia; Primates; Tarsiidae
Description: Y RNA (ENSTSYG00000021226.2)
Rfam family: Y RNA
About the family: Y RNAs are components of the Ro ribonucleoprotein particle (Ro RNP), in association with Ro60 and La proteins. The Y RNAs and Ro60 and La proteins are well conserved, but the function of the Ro RNP is not known.
Source: Rfam by way of RNAcentral
GGUUGGUCUGAGUGCAGUGGUGUUUGCAAUGAACGAAUCACAACCAGUUUCUUUGCUCCUUUUCCACUCCUACUGUUCACUUGACUAGCUUUAA